CGUUGUGGCAUCGCUACUGUCUGCAUUCGUGGUGAUUUCUUUUUUAUUUGACAUAUGUUCUUUGUGUCCUAUAUUCCUUUAUGAUGAUUCUUUCUAUUAUUUUGUCUCUGGAUUGUUCUUAAUUACCGGUUGUUUGUUUCGUACCAUAUAUCGUCAACUCUACCUCUGUGUUUGCCUACCUUCUACUUCUCCGUUUGUAUCUACAGGUUAAAUCAUUUGUUUACUGAUGUUUUUAGGUUGGUAUUUAUAGUCUAUGCCUCAGGUUGGGGAAAAUUUUCGUUUGUGUAUCCCAGCAGUCUGCAUACUAGAGGGCUUCAGAAGCUACUGUAUUUCUUGAUUUUAAUUUUGUGCUCUCCUCAUGCUAGACACAGGUAGGCAGGAGAUGUCAUGGCCUUCCGAGCAGCAUUUUUUGUUGUGUUACUAGGUUUGUUAGGCGCCUCAUGUGCUAAUUAGAGAUGGGCAUGCCCUCUGCCUGGUUGUCCUGCUUAGCCUUGCGCGUCCUCCUGUGAAAUUGGGUACCUACCAAAUACAAAUAUGUGAAAGUUUGGUUCUUUUCUUUUUUUUACAUUUGUGGCUAAUUUUGUAUCCAUUGUCAUGGAAUAGAUAUAUAAUAACUUUAGGUGACCGCUAAAUUGUAUUUCACAUUACUUGUGUCGUGUUCUUCUAAGGUACCACUAAAUUGAUCCCAUGCCUUUUAUUUGCUCUAGAUAUUUUAGUUUUGACGCCCUUGCGCUAACAAUAUUCUGUAUUUUUCAGCUUUUGCAAAAUAGUUACUGUUUGAGAUUUUUUGAAGUUAAAGUUGAUAUUUUCAUGUGCUUUGUUAGGGCUGGUGAUCAAUGAGGCCCAUGAAGAAUGCCAUACUCGAUUUCUCGAGCCUUUCCAUCUCCCAACCCUCCUACUGAAGAUACUGGAUUUCUGAAAAGAAGCUCAGAUCCUCACCUCAUUUCACCAUCCAGAAGUUGGUGAUCAUUUUAUGGUGUUUUUCAUGUUGGGUCAGUGCAGAUGUCAAUCCCUAAAUAUAAUAAUAAACUGAAAUUGUACUACUUUUGCCUUCAAUAAUAGCCACUAUUUUUUUAUUGGUGCCAAUCUUCUACAGUUUAGCAAGGAAUUUAUGAUCAGUAAAUCAAUGACCAAGUUUUCUGCUUUUUAAUAAAGAUUUUUAUUUCAAAAUAGAACCAGGAACUUAAUCUGAAAUACUUUUCCCUUUCAUAAUAUGCCACUACGAAGUGACCUAACCACUUAAGUUGGAUUAAGCAUGUUUAACAUACAUUCAUAUGCACCAUGCUUCUCAUAAUAAUGCAUUAUCAUCUUUGCUUUCUCAUGACAAUAACUAGAAGUUUAAAUUCUUACCUAUUGCCUUCACUAUGUGCCAACUACAUUUUAUGAUACUACUAUAUUAAAACUUUCUCAAACUUUCCUUCUCUGAUGGUUGUAAAACCACUUGCUACUAUGAGUUAAGCCUUAGCCAAUUUAGAUAUGAUUUAGAUCUCAUUUGCCAUUUUCUUUUAUCCAUGGCAUUCACUACCUUGAUCAUGUUACAACAUUUUGCAGCUUCAUAAAAGGUUUAGAUCACUCUUAAAAUGUGAUUUGAAUUGUGCUUUUGUGUGCCCACUGUUUUCAUACUAUAUUUGAUUUCAAAAAUAUUUUGUAGCAUUAGAGUUUCACUCAAAAUGCUAGAUAUAAUUCAGUUUUUCAGAUUUUGUAAAAUUCUUGCUGCACUGUUCUUGAUUUUUAUAAACCAUUGAAAUCAACUCCGUUUGAGCUGAAUACUUUACAGCAUGUCAAUAAUAGUUACAUCUUUCUUAUGUAAAAUUUACAAUUUUUUCUGAGAUCUUUUGGUUGCCCAAAUGAUUUGAAAAUAGAGUGCAGAUCAGUUUCAGAAAACACAAUCAGUUUCAGAUUCAUAGUUCAGGGGACGUGAGAGUAAGACGCUGCAGAGGUAUUCUUCCUCGUGGCAACCAUCUACAGCGUAGCAGCGCCGUGCUUGCCGUUCGUCACGUUCCAGCCCAUCAUGCUGUCGUGUGGAUCAUCUUCUCCAGCUCUAACCUCAUUCAGGCAACGUUUCCGACCAUUUCAGUGAGCCUCUGGUCAUACCACCAUGUCCUCUAGCUUCUGUGUACCGUGGUGCAUCUUUUUGAUGUGCGUGUUGCUUCAGAUGGUCAGCUGAGUCGAGUUGCCGAUGUGACCGGUCGCUACCACCGUGAGCUGAACACCAUGGACUUGCCAUUGACAACAUCGGCCACCAAAGUCUCUUUCUCUUUGACUAACUACAACAUUGAGUUUCCAAGUCCUUAUGGAUGAUAUUAGUGUUCGUUGCAAAAGGUAAAGAAGGUGAAUGGUGUUUUGGUUGGGAACCUGCAGCGUUUGUUCUUAGAUGAUGAGCCAGAAAUAUUCAGGAGGCAAAGCUUACCACAUCUUAGAUCCUGAAGCAACACAGGAUUCCAUCGCCCAUGUCAAAUGAACUUUGGUGAGACUGAGGCAUUAUGCACUUACUGACACAUUUUUGCAGGCGUAACUACACAUUUUCCUAAGG
Lolium perenne is the source of this 2533-nucleotide long non-coding RNA. RefSeq lists it as uncharacterized. NCBI's taxonomy places the organism in Eukaryota, Viridiplantae, Streptophyta, Magnoliopsida, Poales, Poaceae. The record is from RefSeq and is a predicted model, not a curated record.